Molecule: transfer RNA, 75 nt
Filed under: Candidatus Peregrinibacteria bacterium
Lineage: Bacteria; Candidatus Peregrinibacteriota
Description: tRNA-Met
Rfam family: tRNA
About the family: Transfer RNA (tRNA) molecules are approximately 80 nucleotides in length.
Source: RNAcentral
CGCGGGGUGGAGCAGUGGCAGCUCGCAAGGCUCAUAACCUUGAGGUCGGCGGUUCGAAUCCGUCCCCCGCAACCA